CCUACGGGGGGCUGCAGUCGAGAAUCAUUCACAAUGGGGGAAACCCUGAUGGUGCGACGCCGCGUGGGGGAAUGAAGGUCAUCGGAUUGUAAACCCCUGUCAUGUGGGAGCAAAUUAAAAAGAUAGUACCACAAGAGGAAGAGACGGCUAACUCUGUGCCAGCAGCCGCGGUAAUACAGAGGUCUCAAGCGUUGUUCGGAAUCACUGGGCGUAAGGCGUGCGUAGGCUGUUUCGUAAGUCGUGUGUGAAAGGCGCGGGCUCAACCCGCGGACGGCACAUGAUACUGCGAGACUAGAGUAAUGGAGGGGGAACCGGAAUUCUCGGUGUAGCAGUGAAAUGCGUAGAUAUCGAGAGGAACACUCGUGGCGAAGGCGGGUUCCUGGACAUUAACUGACGCUGAGGCACGAAGGCCAGGGGAGCGAAAGGGAUUAGAUACCCCUGUAGUC
This 446-nucleotide ribosomal RNA is filed under the name uncultured bacterium. RNAcentral's name for it is "partial 16S ribosomal RNA". It matches the Rfam family "Bacterial small subunit ribosomal RNA", at positions 338 to 795 of the family's 1533-position model. The record is from RNAcentral.